GCAGUCGAACGGUAACAGGUUAAGCUGACGAGUGGCGAACGGGUGAGUAAUAUAUCGGAACGUGCCCAGUAGUGGGGGAUAGCCCGGCGAAAGCCGGAUUAAUACCGCAUACGACCUACGGAAGAAAGUGGGGGACCUUCGGGCCUCAUGCUUUUGGAGCGGCCGAUGUCUGAUUAGCUAGUUGGUGAGGUAAAGGCUCACCAAGGCGACCAUCAGUAGCUGGUCUGAGAGGACGACCAGCCACACUGGGACUGAGACACGGCCCAAACUCCUACGGGAGGCAGCAGUGGGGAAUUUUGGACAAUGGGCGCAAGCCUGAUCCAGCAAUGCCGCGUGAGUGAAGAAGGCCUUCGGGUUGUAAAGCUCUUUUGUCAGGGAAGAAACGGCCUGAGAUAAUACCUUGCGCUAAUGACGGUACCUGMAAAAUAACCACCGGCUAACUACGUGCCAGCAGCCGCGGUAAUACGUAGGGUGCAGCGUUAAU
RNAcentral lists this ribosomal RNA (484 nucleotides) under uncultured Oxalobacteraceae bacterium. Its description in RNAcentral is "bacterial SSU rRNA". It matches the Rfam family "Bacterial small subunit ribosomal RNA", at positions 57 to 543 of the family's 1533-position model. The record is from RNAcentral. Lineage: Bacteria; Pseudomonadati; Pseudomonadota; Betaproteobacteria; Burkholderiales; Oxalobacteraceae.